GUGCAAAGGUGAUUAAACUACGAUUACAGGAACCACCCAGAAGCCUGUGGUAAUAGAGGCGGGCCCUUCGGUCAAUUAUUAUGGAUCACGUUACGUUUCUGGCAGCGGACACCGGGUCAGGAGUGCGUGCCCAUCAAACGUGACAUCUGCAAAGGACGAAAUCAAAAAUGAAAGUAUAUAAGGAUGACAUACCACACAGUCCGGCUACUCUUUCACUUGCUAUCAACCAACUGUUGUGUGUGUAGUGUUUCGUUUGAUUGGAUUAUUCAAAAAUGAAGGUGUUGAUUGUCUGUACUUUUGCUCUGAUCGCAACGGUCUGCGCAGACAAGUCCGCCCCGUACCCAGCGUCUGGCGCUAAACCCAACGGACCUAUAUUCCUCCUGCCGGUUGGAAAACAGGCUCCUGCUGCGUCGCCCACGAAGGCUCCAACCUAUGUCUAUCCAUACGCUCCUGCCUCUCCACCGAGCUCCCCAAAGGCACCAGAGCCAACAACGGCCAACCCUCAGGAGGUGGAUAUCGUGACCCCAAACAACACUUCCCCUAGCCAGAGACAGGAGGUCAUCGACGUGGGGGUCUACUACAUCCUGAGUCCGAACGGGAAGCUUCAGAAAGUCGAAUACUUCACCGCGCCUCAACCGGAGUCCGAGAUCGCCCAAAAGCUCCAGGAGUACAACGUUAACGGCCAGAAAGCAGCGCCUCUCAAGUUCAAAGGCGUUGUCUCCAACUUCCAAUACAAAGACGUGGAGCCCAUAACCGCUCCUAUCUUCUCCUACAGCAAUGUUCCUGGGCCCCUAGUCAGGAUUCUCCGGAGAGCCGACUAAAUAGUGCCAUUGAGUAUCACCCCUGUUGCCGGAUUUACGGUGGUGCCCCCUCCCUUCCAAGGCAUAGGUGGAGUUAAAUCACUUUCUAGAGCACUGAAAAAAAAAUCUUGGUGUAUUUACUAAGGAAAAGGUAAAAUUACCAAGAAUUCAGGGUUCUAUUUGAUCCCAGUUUUUCCUUGGUAAAAUUACCAUUUAUGGAAUUGGUAAUUUUACCGAGAAAUCUCGGUAAAAUUAUUGAACUUUCUCGGUAAUUUUACCGGAUCUUGGUAAAAUCGCCAAUAUUUUUAAUCGACUGUGGUAGAAUUACCGAGAUAAAAUGGCAAAGUUACCCGGAAUUUAUUACCAAUAAAAGUGGUAUUCUUACCUGAAAAAAACAGUAAAAAUACAGGGUUUUAAGUAAGCUUACCAGUCUGUCUUGGUCAGAUUACCAAUACUUGGUAAUAAAAGUGAGAUGUUGAAGGCACCAACGGACCUUGGUAAAAAUGCCGAUAAUUUUUUUUCAGUGAGGAGCCUGCCCUUCAUUGGAAAAUGACACCUGAAUUGCAUUUUGCAACAAGGGACCAAGAGCAUUUCAACGUUGCUAAGGUUAGGCAACUUACAUUCUUUGCAAUGAAACUACUGAAAUCGUGCAAAACAUUUAAUUUGCAAGGGUAAAUUUCGUCUUUAAUUUAUAGUUUAUAAGGAGUAAAGAUAAUACUUGUUUAGAUGAUCAAUUUAUAUUUUCAUGGUAAAAAAAGUUGCACAAUCUUAGUGACAUUGGAAUGCUUUUGGUUCCUGUUUGCAAAAUGCAAUCCACCUAUCCUGGCUCCACCCAACUAGGAGUGAAGAGACACGGAAUACCUCCUCUAAGGGGCUCAGAGGGUUCUCUUACGGAAGUUUUUGGAAGUUGACUCAAUUUUAGAUCUUAGUACACGUAAAUGGUGCGCAAGAUGUCAACGAUGAAAAUCUUAGAAUAUCAAAAAUUUGACGAACAUUUUCUCACUUCCACUAUACAUAACACGUGAGACACAUUUGGCCUCAUCCUCAGUUGUGACUGAGGAUGACGCCUAAGGUAUUGAAACGCGUAGUGAGUAAAUUUGUGUCCAAUUGUUAGUUUUUUAAAAUUUUAAUUAAUUGUAGAUACAUUUUAAGGGCUCCACAACGUGAAUUUUGUUGAUUUUAGGUGUCUUGCGGUGAGUGAUUCUAGCCCGAGUGCUUCCUUAGAACUUGAAAAAUAAAUAUAAAGAAAAAUUAGUAUUUAUGUGCGCAACCCUUAUACAGGGUUAACCCUUCUCUCUCUAGUCCAAAAAUUCAAAUUAUCUCAUGUGAGGGCCCUGGAGUGAUCACCCCGUCUCUCUCCCCUUAAAUCUGGCACUGAUCACCCCCACCGGUCUAAAUUUAUGUACUUUAAUGAAAGUGAUUGGACUGCAUUUUGCAAUUUGGAACUAUAAAUCCCGUCCCGGUUUAAAAACAACGUAUAAUGUGCCAUUAGUUUCCCUAUGCACAUACGUGUUUUUUUCAGAUGUGCCAGAAUUUAUAGCUCCAAAUUGCAAAAUGCAGUCCAAUUAUGAUCGAUCGAUGAGAUGGUGUACCAUAUUUACAGAAAAUGACACUACACUGAGAAAAAAAGUUCGGUCGUAUGAACCGAAUGUUCGGUGUUCAAUAUCGGCCGUAUUGUUUGGUUCAUGCGACCGCUCUCUCGGUUCUCGGAACCGUAUCUUCGGUUCAUGCAACCGAGCAUUUAAACCGAACAGAACUAACGAACAAGCUCGGUUGUAUGAACCGAGGAUACGGUUCCCAGAACCGAGAGAGCGGUCGCAUGAACCAAACAAUACGGCCGAUAUUGAACACCGAACAUUCGGUUCAUACGACCGAACUUUUUUUCUCAGUGUGUCAUGAUCACGAUGAGGAGUAUGUGUGCGACGUAGGCACGCACCAGCAAGUUUCCUUGUUAUUCCACGGUUCAGAAAUUUCUCAAUGAAAAUCAAAGUAAAAAUCUGGCUACCGCUCACUAGUUACUGUGAGUUCAGCUUCGAGCUUCACUAUUAUUCUCAUGAAAUUUUUCACUGCUGCAAAGUACCAAUAAAUUUCAGCACGGUGGGAUAGGACGAUGACUUUUGUGAUACUAACAUUUCAGUAUUCAGAUGGCGUAUUGAGCGCUCUCUCCUAAGGAAAUGGUUGCCCUUGAGACUUGUUAGUAGAGGUAAAAAGUUAUUUUUCUCUCAGGAAUGUAAUUCUAACAAGUUCAUACUACCUAUAUUAUUUAGUUAAAAAUUAUGACUUUAUAACUGUCAUGAAUGUGUUGUGAUAUGGUGAGUUGAUAUUUGCUUAAUCAAUAAAAACAUAUUUUGAAGAAUUUAUAGUUCAUUUUCCCUCUGUCGUCGGUAGGAGCUAAAGGAUCAUCAAUGAUCAAUAAUGCGGUGUUGCCAGAAAUGGAUCCCGUCGCAAUUUCCUCAUCAGGAAACACGGUUAUUCUGAACUGUCAAUUUCAAUUAAAGUAAUACAAUCAGACAACACUGUAAUGAUGAUCCUUGGAAAUCUUUUUGAGCCUUGGAUGAUAAUUUUAACGUGAUGAUGAUGUUUUUUUACCAAGAUAGAUUCACGUUUUUUUCGUAAUAUACGAAGCUUCUUCA
This 3433-nucleotide long non-coding RNA is filed under the name Bemisia tabaci. Its description in RNAcentral is "lncRNA ENSSSA1UGG009985". Lineage: Eukaryota; Metazoa; Arthropoda; Insecta; Hemiptera; Aleyrodidae. The record is from RNAcentral.